This 75-nucleotide transfer RNA is filed under the name Thermoplasmatota archaeon. RNAcentral describes it as "tRNA-Arg". It matches the Rfam family "tRNA". Rfam says of the family: Transfer RNA (tRNA) molecules are approximately 80 nucleotides in length. Their secondary structure includes four short double-helical elements and three loops (D, anti-codon, and T loops). The record is from RNAcentral. Lineage: Archaea; Methanobacteriati; Thermoplasmatota.
GGGCGCGUGGCCUAGCCAGGACAGGGCGCUGGCCUUCUAAGCCAGCUGUCGUGGGUUCAAAUCCCACCGCGCUCG